ACGUAGGAGGCGAGCGUUAUCCGGAUUUACUGGGUGUAAAGCGCGUGCAGGCGGUUUGUUAAGUUGGAUGUGAAAGCUCCUGGCUCAACUGGGAGAGGUCGUUCAAGACUGGCAGACUGGAGAGUGGUAGGGGAAGGUGGAAUUCCGGGUGUAGUGGUGAAAUGCGUAGAUAUCCGGAGGAACACCAGUGGCGAAAGCGGCCUUCUAGACCAUAUCUGACGCUCAGACGCGAAAGCUAGGGUAGCAAACGGGAUUAGAGACCCCGGUAGUCCUAGCCGUAAACGAUGUGAACUUGGCGUUGAGUGGGUAAAACCAAUCAGUGCCGCAGCAAACGCGAUAAGUUCACCACCUGGGGACUACGGCCGCAAGGUUA
RNAcentral lists this ribosomal RNA (373 nucleotides) under uncultured bacterium. Its description in RNAcentral is "bacterial SSU rRNA". It matches the Rfam family "Bacterial small subunit ribosomal RNA", at positions 525 to 896 of the family's 1533-position model. The record is from RNAcentral.